Diorhabda sublineata is the source of this 453-nucleotide long non-coding RNA. RefSeq lists it as uncharacterized. The transcript has 2 exons. NCBI's taxonomy places the organism in Eukaryota, Metazoa, Arthropoda, Insecta, Coleoptera, Chrysomelidae. The record is from RefSeq and is a predicted model, not a curated record.
GUGAUCUGGUUUAGUUCCCGAUCAUGAUCGGGUUAAUCGGAUCAUAGUUUCUGUAAAGUGAUUUUUGUUGUUAUUUAUAGGAUGUGGUCCAACUAUGAUUUAUGAAGAAAAGGUUGUUUAAAUUUUGGAAUGGAAAAAACAAAAUCGUGUACCUCUUGUCAAAUUGUAUGUAUCAUAUGCUUUUGUGGAAUUGGUACUUAUUUGAUAUCAACAGGAAGAGGUUACCCCAAGAACUCCAAAUUGAUUAUAAAUUCUUUAGGAAUGGGUAGUUUUGCACUAGGCGUUAAAGGAUUAUUGAAUCUUUUUCGAGAAAAAAAUAAUAAAUUAGUAAGAGACUGAUAUGAGAGUAUAUAAAACAUAUUUAUUUGACCUGUAAACAUAUUAGGGUAAAAUUAUUUUUAUACAAUGUGUAAAAACAUUAGCAUUAUAAAUAAAGCAUAUAUUUCAAACCAA